UACGUAGGGUGCAAGCGUUGUCCGGAAUUAUUGGGCGUAAAGAGCUCGUAGGCGGUCUGUCGCGUCGGCUGUGAAAACCCGGGGCUCAACCCCGGGCCUGCAGUCGAUACGGGCAGACUAGAGUGCGGUAGGGGAGACUGGAAUUCCUGGUGUAGCGGUGAAAUGCGCAGAUAUCAGGAGGAACACCGGUGGCGAAGGCGGGUCUCUGGGCCGUAACUGACACUGAGGAGCGAAAGCGUGGGGAGCGAACAGG
This 253-nucleotide ribosomal RNA is filed under the name uncultured bacterium. RNAcentral's name for it is "partial 16S ribosomal RNA". It matches the Rfam family "Bacterial small subunit ribosomal RNA", at positions 524 to 776 of the family's 1533-position model. The record is from RNAcentral.